UACAGAGGGUGCGAGCGUUGUCCGGAAUCACUGGGCGUAAAGGGUGCGCAGGCGGCCAAGUGUGUUAGGCGUGAAAGCCUGAGGCUUAACCUCAGAAUUGCACCUAAAACUACAUGGCUAGAGCAUUGGAGAGGGUGGCGGAAUUCACGGUGUAGCAGUGAAAAUGCGUAGAUAUCGUGAGGAACACCAGAGGCGAAGGCGGCUACCUGGACAAUUGCUGACGCUCAGGCACGAAAGCGUGGGGAGCAAACAGG
This 254-nucleotide ribosomal RNA is filed under the name uncultured bacterium. RNAcentral's name for it is "partial 16S ribosomal RNA". It matches the Rfam family "Bacterial small subunit ribosomal RNA", at positions 524 to 776 of the family's 1533-position model. The record is from RNAcentral.